ACUCAAAUGAAUAGACGGGGGUCCGCACAAGCGGUGGAACAUGUGGUUUAAUUCGACACUACGCGAGGAACCUUACCUGGGCUUGACAUGUACUUGACAGUCGUAGAAAUACGAUCUUCUAGGCUUCGGUCUAGACGGGUACACAGGUGCUGCAUGGCUGUCGUCAGCUCGUGUCGUGAGAUGUUGGGUUAAGUCCUCUAACGAGCGCAACCCUUGUUGUCAGUUGCAACUUACGUAAGUAAGGCACUCUGACGAGACUGCCUGGGAAACCAGGAGGAAGGUGGGGACGACGUCAAGUCAUCAUGGUCCUUAUGUCCAGGGCAACACACGUGUUACAAUGGUCGGUACAAAGGGCUGCAAACCCGCGAGGGGGAGCAAAUCUCAAAAAGCCGAUCUAAGUUCGGAUUGAAGUCUGCAACCCGACUUCAUGAAGCUGAAAUCGCUAGUAAUCGCAUAUCAGCUACGAUGCGGUGAAUACGUUCUCGGACCUUGUACACACCGCCCGU
This 506-nucleotide ribosomal RNA is filed under the name uncultured bacterium. Its description in RNAcentral is "partial 16S ribosomal RNA". It matches the Rfam family "Bacterial small subunit ribosomal RNA", at positions 899 to 1397 of the family's 1533-position model. The record is from RNAcentral.